RNAcentral lists this microRNA precursor (100 nucleotides) under Marmota monax (woodchuck). Lineage: Eukaryota; Metazoa; Chordata; Mammalia; Rodentia; Sciuridae. The record is from RNAcentral.
CCUGGGAUUGCUGGUUCAUAUGACAUGUUUAACUUUAUAAGAAACUGCCAAAUGGGGUUUUUUUCACAGUAUCUCUAUCAUUUUCAUCUCCAUUAGUGAU